Orcinus orca (killer whale) is the source of this 4157-nucleotide long non-coding RNA. RefSeq lists it as uncharacterized. Lineage: Eukaryota; Metazoa; Chordata; Mammalia; Artiodactyla; Delphinidae. The record is from RefSeq and is a predicted model, not a curated record. The transcript has 2 exons.
CGGGAGUCGACGGCGCCGUCGCCUUCCCGGCGCCGCCCCCACCCCUCCGCGCGGGGCCGGGGGCAGAAUGAGCGUCUCGUCUCUCCUCACGAAACAAAGAAGGCGCCGCCGCUGCCGCCGAGCGAGGGCACUAUCUUCCCUAAAGAGCCAUAACUGAGAACACAGGGUGAAGACAAGGCACGCAUCACCUGCCCUGAAUCCACGCGGGGAACCCUGCACACACCCGGGAAGGCAGCUCUGUCUGCAGCCAGCAACAGCAGUUUAACGUAAUCAAUAGAUAGAGGAACGGGGGGUGUCCCUCGGACCAAAGAUUCCAAGCCAUCACCCCUUCUGCUGGGCCCCUGAUUUCUCAUCCAACCAGAUGCAAGCAGCCUUGGGCAAGGGGUUGCUGGCACUGCAGUCAUGGGAAAUCAGGCUCGGGGCUGCUUUUCCUCCCCCCUCCCCGCCCCCCAACAGCUAAGUUCAUCUCUACAGAGGGCAGAUCCAGCUGACUCUUCAGUUAACUUCUUUGGGGGAGAGAUUCUGGACAAGCCCCCAUAAAUGCUCCAUAAAGUACCACCCCUUCCCCGUCCCCUGUCAUGCAUCUAGUCAUGAAACCUUGGUUUUUAAUCCGAAGGAAACAAGUCCAACUUAAUUUUUCCCACAAGUGGUUUCCAGAUCAACCCUAGUUCAAGGAAAAGACCCGAUCAACCCUAGCACAGGGAACAGUGGGGUUAGGACAGGGGGGAAAUUGCUGGUGCCGUCCUGGUGAGAGAGAAGGGGGGAUCUGGCGCCCUCUGGUGGUCACCACGCGCCACAACUCGUCCUGCUGUGCCGCUCCGUGGUGUCUGCCGUAACCUGCCCAGUCAGCUCUGAGGAUGUCUUUCAAUAGGUGAGCGGAUACACACACGAUGGUACAUCCAGACAAUGGCAUAUAUUCAAUGAUAAAAAUAAACGAGCCAUGGUGGAGGGAUGGAUUGGGAGUUUGGGAUAAGCAGAUGCAAACUAUUAUGUAAAGAAUGGAUAAACAACAAGGUCCAACUGUGUAGCACAGGGAACUAUAUUCAAUAUCCUGUGAUAAACCAUAAUGAAAAAGAAUAUGAAAAAGAAUGUAUUAGAAUAUAUAUUUGUAACUGAAUCACUUUGCUGUACACCAGAAACUAACACAGCAUUGUAAAUCAACUAUACUUCAAAAAAAAAAAAAAUAUAUAUAUCUGUUUGUAGGUUCAUCAAUUGUAACAAAUGUUCCUGACUAAAGCAAAAUGUUAAUAAUAGGGGAAACUACUGGGUGGGGGAACGGGGGCUGGCAGGGAGUCUGUGGAGACUUUCAUUACUGUAUGCUUAGUUUUUCUGUAAACCUAAAACUGAAGCCUAUUAAUUUUAUUUAAAACAGCUUUAUUGAGGUACAGUUGACAUACAGUAAACUGUGUAUACUUAAGGUGCACAGUAUGAUUCAUUGUGACGUGUGUAUAUACCCAUGAAGCAUCUGUGACCCACACUCCCCUCUCCCUCCAGACAACCACCGACGUGCUCUCUGUCACUAAAACCGGCUGCGUUUUCUAGCCUUUUAAAUAGCUGGGAAUCAUCCGCUAUGUACCGUUUUCUUCCGGCUUCUUUCACUCCACCAUGUUACUCAGGUGGCAGCUUGGAUCAGGAGUUGGUUUCUUUUCACUGCCACGUGGUAUGCCACUGCGGGGACAUCCUCCCCCGUGUUCACGCAUUCCCUGCGAGGGCCACUCGGGUGGUGUCUGCCUGCCCUGGUCUGCUUGGACUCUCAGCUCCCUGGGCGCUCAGGGAGAGAGUGGUGCAUAGGCUCAGUAGCUGUGACGCACGGGCUCCGAAGCACGUGGUCCCCAGCACCACAGCCUGGAACUUUCUCAAGCAGCACACUGGUGCGGUCACGUGGGUCUCAGGAGCCACUGUCCCUCCAAGACAUGUCCAGUGUCUUGAAAACCUUCUUUCAUACAUCUUGCCCAAGUUGGGAGUUGGGUCAGAUGGUAGAGGAAAUCUGGUCCCUGUCACUCCCCUGGCUGGAGCAGAAGCUUCAUCCCUCAGCUCUGGACCCUUCUCCUCCCCUUCCACCUUCCAUCCUGUCCACUGUACCUCUGUGUCCCCAGCCCCCUCCCUUGUUACCAAAGCAUCCUCUAGUCUACUGCCAGCUGUUUAAUAUUUAUUUAACUUGAAUUAUAGAAUUACAUAUUUAAUGUAAAAUACUUUGGAGAUAUUGGUAAGCAACAAGGAUAUUGGUAAGCAACAAGGAAAAAAAUCCUAAUUCAUUCUCCCACCACAGGCAAAGGACUGCUGUUAGCUGACAUUUUGGCUCCCAUCCCCCCAGAUGUGCUGUCCUUUCUGUGACGGUGUCUGACUGCCUUGAUACUCUGCAGGGCAAGUGUUAGAUCAUCCUGGUGUCCCCAAGAUCUAACAUACAGUCUGGCCUGACCCGGCACAGGUGGAUGGUGACUGACUCAAUCCCCUGCUCUCCUUUUCACACGCUUUAUUUUGUUUUUUAAAUAAAUUUAUUUUUUGGCUGCGCUGGGUCUUCAUUGCUGUGCGCGAGCUUUCUCUAGUUGUGGUGAGCGGGGGCUACUCUUCGUUGCGGUGUGUGGGCUUCUCAUUGUGGUGGCUUCUCUUGUUGCAGAGUAUGGGCUCUAGGUACGUGUGCUUCAGUAGUUGCGGUGCAUAGGCUCAGUAGCUGUGACACAUGGGCUUAGCUGCUCCGAAGCAUGUGGGAUCUUCCCAGACCAGGCCGUGUCCCCUGUAUUGGCAGGCGGAUUCUUUUUUUUUUUUUUUUGGCCCUGCUGCGUGGCACGUGGGGCUCUUAGUUCCCUGACCAGGGAUCAAACCCGUGCCCCCCGCAGUGGAGGCGUGGAGUCUCAACCAAUGGACCGCCAGGGAAGUCCCAGCAGGCGGAUUCUUAACCACUGCGCCACCAGGGAAGUCCCUCACACACUUUAAAUACAAGGGAAAGGGACUUCCCUGGCGGUCCAGUGGUUAAGACCCUAGGCUUCCACUGUAGGGAGUGCAGGUUCAAUCCAUGGUCGGGGAACUAAGAUCGCAUAAGCCGCAUGGGGCCAAAAUACAUAAUACAUACAUACAUGCAAGGGAGAAUCAUGUCAUUGCCUCCCUUCUGUGACUUGUAGAAUUCAAUCAGUAGAGUAUCUUGGAGAAUUUAGUGAGAGAGAAACCCAAGGCAUCCUUAGCUGAACGGCAGAGAGGAGUGUUGGAUUUUUCACUUAGGAUGAGCCUGGGUCAUAGGGCAGGGGGAUUAAAAGGUCAGUAUGUGUUUAAAUGACACCAGUGUUUGCAGCAAGAUGGGUGGAACUAGAGAUUAUCAUACUAAGUGAAGUGAGUCAGAAAGAGAAAGACAAAUACCAUAUAUCAUUUAUAUGUGGAAUCUAAAAUAUGACACAAAUGAACCUAUCUACGAAACAGAAACAGACUCAUAGACAUAGAGAACAGACUUGUGGUUGCCAAGGGGGAGGGGGAGGGGGAGGGAUGGAUUGGGAGUUUGGGAUUAGCAGAUGCAAACUAUUAUAGAAUGGAUAAACAACAAGGUCCUACUGUAUAGCACGGGAAACUAUAUUCAAUACCUUGUGAUAAACCAUAAUGGACAUAUAUAUAAACUGAAUCAUUUUGCUGUACAGCAUAAAUUAACACAACAUUGUAAAUCUACACUUCAAUAAAAAAUUAAAAAUUAAAAAAAAUUACACCAAUUGGGUCCUUUGUGGAGACGUGGAUGGAUCUAGAGACUGUCAUACAGAGUGAAGUUAAGUCAGAAAGAGAAAAACAAAUAUCGUACACUAACGCACAUAUGUGGAACCUAGAGAAAUGGUACAGAUGAACGGGUUUGCAGGGCAGAAAUAGAGACAUAGAUGUAGAGAACAAACAUAUGGCCACCAGGGGGGGAAGCGGCGGGGGGUGGGGAGGGAUGAAUUGGGAGAUUGGGUUGACAUGUAUACACUAAUAUGUAUAAAAUGGAUAACUAAUGAGAACCUGCUGUAUAAAAAAAUAAAUUAAAUAAAAUUCAAAAAAAAAAAAGAUUACACCAGUGUUUAAUGCAGUGUGGAAAGAUUUCCCUAAAUUGCUGCAUGAUGCUUCAGGACCUGAGGGGUAGAAAAACCCAGUACAGUUACCGCUUGGUAUCCAGGGGGGUUGGUUCCAGGACAAACCCCCUGCCC